RNAcentral lists this ribosomal RNA (253 nucleotides) under uncultured bacterium. RNAcentral's name for it is "partial 16S ribosomal RNA". It matches the Rfam family "Bacterial small subunit ribosomal RNA", at positions 524 to 776 of the family's 1533-position model. The record is from RNAcentral.
UACAGAGGGGGCAAGCGUUGUUCGGAAUUACUGGGCGUAAAGGGCGCGUAGGCGGCCUGUUAAGUCGAACGUGAAAUCCCCGGGCUCAACCCGGGAACUGCGUCCGAUACUGGCAGGCUUGAAUCCGGGAGAGGGAUGCGGAAUUCCAGGUGUAGCGGUGAAAUGCGUAGAUAUCUGGAGGAACACCGGUGGCGAAGGCGGCAUCCUGUACCGGCAUUGACGCUGAGUCGCGAAAGCCAGGGGAGCAAACGGG